ACUUGUCGAAGCGGUUGAAUCGUAAUAUGGAAUAAUAUAUACACAACGAAUAAUACCAGUUUCCAGAUAGAGUAAACGGUGGCUGGUUCACUUUACAGCCCCACAAAUAAUGCGUGAGGCAUCACGUUGAAGGUGUUCGACUUGAUUCGCUAGGUGAUCAUUGCAACUGUCUCAAAUACUGUCGCCGUAGUCGGUAGUAUAUAAGAAUUGUAAAUUAUUAAAAGUGAUUUUCUAUUUAACCUGUACUUUAGGGAUCUUAAACAAUUGAUUAAUUUUGAUGCUUUAUUACAAAUAUUUUUAUGUGGAUAUCCCAUUUCAGUUUGUGUUGGAAGAUAAAUGUUUGUGGUUUGCACAUCAUUUAUUUUAACACUGUUCAAAAAAAGUGGUGACGUGUUAUUGUAUGAUUUGAUAGGCCUUAGUACUGAUUCUGUUUUUAUGGGAUUGAAGGAAACCAGCCAUGUUUUGGAACAGGUUUUGAUUUUAUCGAAAUCCGAAUUCAUUAUUCUCUCAUUUUCUGACGAAUUUGUCAUCAUUAAGCAGAGAGACGUAUCAUCAGCAAGCAGUUUAAUAUUUGAUUGAACAUUUUCAGUGAUGUCAUUAAUGCAGAUAAACAACAGAAGCGGUCCAAGAACGGAGCCCUGUGAAACAUCAUUUAUAUAAAGCGGCCAUUUUGGACUCCGGAAGCACCCGAACCUCGAUAAACUACUAGAAGGUUUUAUUUGUACCGUGCGGUAAGGACGACCAGCCCUCGAUAAACUACUAGAAGGUUUUAUUACUCAACAAAUACCUUCUCGAAGCAUGUAAUAAAAUCUAAUCGGGUGGAACAACACACUUUGGUCGACCAGUUAUUAUAACUCUUAAACCAACUGUACAAUUCAUCUCUGACCCCGAAAAAAAUUGAACUUCAGGCAGAGUCUGGAAUGCGAAACCAUAUAGAAUGCUUUGCUGAUGUCACAGAAUGCUGUUCUUGUACAAUAGCCCUUAUCGAUUGCAUAACAAUAAAAAUCAAUUUAGUAUAGAAGUCGAUAGAUAGAUUCCGAUUGAAAAAUAGUUCCACUUCCAUGCGACGGCGAUAACUUGCUGUGGUGGUUAUAGGGCUCUCGAAUACAAUAUUGAAAUAUUUUGUUUUUAAAACCUUCACCGACAAACAUGAUAACAACCAAGAUCUGAAUAUUACCAAAACAAAAAACGUAAUUUCUCACUGGGCCACCAUGGCUCCUAUUACAACCUAGUAUAGUAUAAAUCAAUCAAUGACAGCUGAUAAUCAAUUAUUAUUUAUUUAUCGUAGUGAGUUUUUCAUCAAUGGCAUCAACCAGUUACUAUAUAAACACAGGUUACUAUAUCGAUUACGGAAUAAACAGGAGUGUUUCCAUUAGGUUUUCCAGUGCAUUCAUCCAAAUAUAUACAUUAUUUCUGACGAGCUCCCCAGAUGAGUUCAAAAUGUUAAAAUGUUAUAAAACUAGUGUUGAAAUCAGUUUA
This is a long non-coding RNA of Patella vulgata (common limpet), 1479 nucleotides long. RefSeq lists it as uncharacterized. The record is from RefSeq and is a predicted model, not a curated record. NCBI's taxonomy places the organism in Eukaryota, Metazoa, Mollusca, Gastropoda, Patellidae. The transcript has 2 exons.